CCUACGGGUGGCAGCAGUCGAGAAUCAUUCACAAUGGGGGAAACCCUGAUGGUGCGACGCCGCGUGGGGGAAUGAAGGUCUUCGGAUUGUAAACCUCUGUCAUGUGGGAGCAAAUUAAAAAGAUAGUACCACAAGAGGAAGAGACGGCUAACUAUGUGCCAGCAGCCGCGGUAAUACAGAGGUCUCAAGCGUUGUUCGGAAUCACUGGGCGUAAAGGGUGCGUAGGCGGUUUCGUAAGUCGUGUGUGAAAGGCGCGGGCUCAACCCGCGGACGGCACAUGAUACUGCGAGACUAGAGUAAUGGAGGGGGAACCGGAAUUCGCGGUGUAGCAGUGAAAUGCGUAGAUAUCGAGAGGAACACUCGUGGCGAAGGCGGGUUCCUGGACAUUAACUGACGCUGAGGCACGAAGGCCAGGGGAGCGAAAGGGAUUAGAUACCCGAGUAGUC
This 446-nucleotide ribosomal RNA is filed under the name uncultured bacterium. RNAcentral describes it as "partial 16S ribosomal RNA". It matches the Rfam family "Bacterial small subunit ribosomal RNA", at positions 338 to 795 of the family's 1533-position model. The record is from RNAcentral.